This 93-nucleotide microRNA precursor is filed under the name Bigelowiella natans CCMP2755. Its description in RNAcentral is "miRNA EPrBNAG00000013324". Lineage: Eukaryota; Cercozoa; Chlorarachniophyceae. The record is from RNAcentral.
UAAUGAUGACGAUGAUGACGACGAUGGUAAUGAUGAUAAAGAUAUUGGUAGUGAUAAGCACCUCAUCAAAUAUCAUCAUCGUUACCUCCAUCA